This 527-nucleotide ribosomal RNA is filed under the name Catunica adiposa. RNAcentral describes it as "eukaryotic LSU rRNA". It matches the Rfam family "Eukaryotic large subunit ribosomal RNA", at positions 57 to 592 of the family's 3401-position model. The record is from RNAcentral. Lineage: Eukaryota; Fungi; Ascomycota; Sordariomycetes; Microascales; Ceratocystidaceae.
AAAAGAAACCAACAGGGAUUGCCCUAGUAACGGCGAGUGAAGCGGCAACAGCUCAAAUUUGAAAUCUGGCUACUUCGUAGUCCGAGUUGUAAUUUGUAGAGGAUGCUUUUGGUGAAGUGCUUUCUGAGUUCCCUGGAACGGGACGCCAGAGAGGGUGAGAGCCCCGUACAGUUAGCAACUGAUCCUUUGUAUAGCUCCUUCGACGAGUCGAGUAGUUUGGGAAUGCUGCUCUAAAUGGGAGGUAUAUCUCUUCUAAAGCUAAAUAUAGGCUAGAGACCGAUAGCGCACAAGUAGAGUGAUCGAAAGAUGAAAAGCACUUUGAAAAGAGAGUUAAACAGCACGUGAAAUUGUUGAAAGGGAAGCGCCUAUGACCAGACUUGUCUCUAUCAGUUUUGGUAGUUUUCGGACUGCUUUACUCUGUUAGUACAGGCCAACAUCAGUUUGUUGUCGGGGAGAAAGGCUUAGGGAAUGUGGCUCCUUCGGGAGUGUUAUAGCCCUUUGCAUAAUACCCUUCGGCAGACUGAGGA